GAUUCUGAUUUUCAGUACUAA
RNAcentral lists this unclassified non-coding RNA (21 nucleotides) under Dictyostelium discoideum. Lineage: Eukaryota; Evosea; Eumycetozoa; Dictyosteliales; Dictyosteliaceae. The record is from RNAcentral.